Molecule: ribosomal RNA, 1406 nt
Filed under: Gelidium sp.
Lineage: Eukaryota; Rhodophyta; Florideophyceae; Gelidiales; Gelidiaceae
Description: SSU rRNA
Rfam family: Eukaryotic small subunit ribosomal RNA
Source: RNAcentral
UUCGAUGGUAACUCUACUCGGAUAACCGUAGUAAUUCUAGAGCUAAUACGUGCCACAAGGCGACUUUUGUCGUGGUAUAAAUUGGAGAUACAAACCAAUAUUUGGUGAUUCACGAUUUCUUUUCUGAUCGCACUAUGUGCGACGCAUCGUUCAAAUUUCUGACCUAUCAACUUUGGAUGGUAAGGUAUUGUCUUACCAUGGUUGUGACGGGUAACGGACCGUGGGUGCGGGACUCCGGAGAGGGAGCCUGAGAAACGGCUACCACAUCCAAGGAAGGCAGCAGGCGCGCAAAUUACCCAAUCCGGACACCGGGAGGUAGUGACAAGAAAUAGCAAUAGAGGGCCCGAUGGGUUUUCUAAUUGGAAUGAGAACAAGGUAAACAGCUUAUCGAGGAGCCAGCAGAGGGCAAGUCUGGUGCCAGCAGCCGCGGUAAUUCCAGCUCUGUAAGCGUAUACCAAAGUUGUUGCAGUUAAAACGCUCGUAGUCGGAACUUGGCGGGCGACGCAGGGCGUCUUUGCGGACGGUUCUGUAUCGGCCGCCUUUGUGGAGGGGGGCUUAGCGGUGCUUUAUUGCCUUGCUAAGUCGCUGCCACCGUUUACUGUGAAAAAAUUGGAGUGUUCAAAGCAGGCGUUUGCCUUGUACACAUUAGCAUGGAAUAAUAGAAUAGGACCUGGUUCUGUUUUGUUGGUUUGUGAGAAUUAGGUAAUGAUUAAGAGGGACGGUUGGGGGCAUUUGUAUUCUGCCGUCAGAGGUGAAAUUCUUAGAUUGGCGGAAGACAAACAGCUGCGAAAGCGUCUGCCAAGGACGUUUUCAUUGAUCAAGAACGAAAGUAAGGGGAUCGAAGACGAUCAGAUACCGUCGUAGUCUUUACUAUAAACGAUGAGGACUGGGGAUCGGGCGGCGCUGCUUUAUGGCCCGCCCGGCACCCUUCGGGAAACCAAAGUGUUUGCUUUCUGGGGGGAGUAUGGUCGCAAGGCUGAAACUUAAAGGAAUUGACGGAAGGGCAUCACCGGGUGUGGAGCCUGCGGCUUAAUUUGACUCAACACGGGGAAACUUACCAGGUCCGGACAUAGUGAGGAUUGACAGAUUGAGAGCUCUUUCUUGAUUCUAUGGUUGGUGGUGCAUGGCCGUUCUUAGUUGGUGGAGUGAUCUGUCUGGUUAAUUCCGUUAACGAGCGAGACCUGGGCGUGCUAGCUAGGCGCCGUUACCUCUUUCGGUAGCGAGGCUUGCCUUCCUAGACGGACUGCGGGCGUCUAGUCCGCGGAAGCUCCAGGCAAUAACAGGUCUGAGAUGCCCUUAGAUGUUCUGGGCCGCACGCGUGCUACACUGAGCGGGUCAACGGGUGAGGAUAGGCGAGAGCCUUUCCUAAUCUCUAAAUCCGCUCGUGCUGGGGAUCGAGGCUUGCA